Non-coding RNA from Pseudonaja textilis, 98 nucleotides. NCBI's taxonomy places the organism in Eukaryota, Metazoa, Chordata, Lepidosauria, Squamata, Elapidae. The record is from RefSeq and is a predicted model, not a curated record.
CUCCUAAGACUGCUGAGCUAUUAGCAAACUCAACAUUGUUCACACUAACUGGCAUUGCUUGCUUGGACUACAGGUUAAUGAAUGCCUUGCAGUUUGAU